AUCAAUUUAAAUCGUGAACGCGGUUAAACAAAAAUUUGAGCGUUUUGAUCUUUGUUCCAUCUUUUGUCUUAGAUCUGUAUAUAUGUAGAUGUUCUUUUUCGUUUGAUUAUUUGAAUAAGUUUAAUUAAUAAUAAAUCCAACGGGCUUUGGCUUAAUCCGUGUAUAGCACCAAUUUCUACCAGGAUUAACCUUGGAAAACAGUCUGGUCCCGAAAAAGGCUGACGUUGCAUACCUUUAUUUCGGAAAUUUCGAAAGAGCGUCCAACAACAUACGCUCAAGAAGACUCGUGGUCGGACUGACCAAAGACUGGCGUGAAAUCCUCCAUUGGUGGCCAAUUCUACAAAAAAGCAACUCUCCGACGAGGAAACAAACAUUCCGACGGCCUUGUGGCGGCGAUUCCAUUCGAAGGAUUUGGGUACGAAUCCGAGCGAACCUAAGCAGACUAAAUCUUUCCGAUCGGCGAAUUGGAUCCUGAAGGAAAAACGAGCAAGUCAUCGGCAGCGGCGGGCCUCUAUACUGACACCAUACACUUAAAAAUACUGCCCCGAUAAGCUACGAAGUGCUUCCGGAAUCAUUCCGGGACAGCCACAGCCAACAUUUACCACCAGCUUGCCGGAUGAGUCGAACGGAGAAGUACAUGAAUGUGAAGGAGGAUUAGGUGGCCAGGGUGCCUCGGAAGGACACGGGGAAGGCAGCGUUUGGUUGGAGGAACAUUCAAGAAAAAUAAAAGGAUGCUAACCGAGAAGCCGGAUAAUCAAGAAAAAGAACAUUAUUCCCAAACAAGAGUCAAAACAAUAAUCAUAUAUUAUAAGAUGACGACGCCCAUUUCUUAAAUAAAAAUCAAAUUUCAAAUAAA
Uranotaenia lowii is the source of this 856-nucleotide long non-coding RNA. RefSeq lists it as uncharacterized. The record is from RefSeq and is a predicted model, not a curated record. The transcript has 2 exons. Lineage: Eukaryota; Metazoa; Arthropoda; Insecta; Diptera; Culicidae.